Pan troglodytes (chimpanzee) is the source of this 1741-nucleotide long non-coding RNA. RefSeq lists it as uncharacterized. NCBI's taxonomy places the organism in Eukaryota, Metazoa, Chordata, Mammalia, Primates, Hominidae. The transcript is spliced from 3 exons. The record is from RefSeq and is a predicted model, not a curated record.
UUCUCUACCAGCCUCCCGUCCUCACGGAAGUCAUCUGUAGCUUUGCCCAGGAGGCCACGCACUGUGUAAUCCUUCAAGGACAGGGAGCUCUCCUGUCACCUGGGGACAGUAACAGGGCCAGUCUCACAGUACUGCUGCCUGGAUUCAGCAGGACAUGGUACCUGGCUCCCAGUCAGCAGGCUUCCUACAAGACUGCUGGCUGGUUUCCAUGACAACCAGCACUGGCAGCCUCCAAAGCCCCUGCACAGCACACGAUCAUCAAAAAAAUGCUUGCUUAUGGCUUGGGUGUUCCCCCACGGAAUCCUCUAAGCUUCAGAAUCCUGCUGGUGACCCCCAGGAAAGGACCAAGGGAGAAGCAGGCUGUCCCCAGACCCUCGUACCUUGGUAAGAUGAGCAUUGUACAUAUCGGUGAGGAGCCUGCAUCCAUGUCCCACGCCGAGCACUGAAAAGCAGCCAGCGUCAUUUCACACCUGGGACCCCCUUCCCAUUCCCCUAAGUAUCCCCACCCCUACCCCCACCAUCAGAAUACUCCCUUUUCUGAUGCUGCCAAAGGCAACAAGAAGGCAAAAAGAUCUUCUACAGGGGGCAGGUGCGCCCCUCUGGGUAUAUAUCACAUGCAGAUUGCUGGGCCUUACCCAUAUGCACUGAAUCUGACUCAUGGUUGGAGGGGGCCUAGGAUCCCUGCCAAGCUCCCCACAGGAUUCUGACACCUGAGAGGAAGAGAUCCCUGGCCUAGUCACACAAACCUGCACUCAAAUCAGGGACAGCUCUGAGUAUAAUCUUUAGCCUCUUUGAGCGUCAAGUUCCCCAUCAGUAAAAUGGGGGUAAAAAUACUGUCUGAAGGCCAGGCGCAGUGGCUCAUGUCUGUAAUCCCAGAACUUUGGGAGGCCGAGGCAGGUGGAUCACCUGAGGUCAGGAGUUUGAGACCAGCUUGGCCAACAUGGUGAAACCCCAUCUCUACCAAAAAAUACAAAAUUAGCCAGGUGUGGUGCUACACUACACUCCAGCUUGGGCAACAAGAGUGAGACUCCGUCUCACAAAAAAAAAAAAAAAAAAAAAUUAGCCAGGCGUGGUGGCAGGCACCUGUAAUCCCACCUACUCGGGAGGCUAAGGCAGGGAGAAUUGCUUGAACCCGGGAGGCGGAGGUUCCAGUGAGCCGAGAUCGUGCCAUUGCACUCCAGCCUGGGAGACAGAGCAAGACUCUGUCUCAGUAAAAAAAAAAAAAAUACUGAUUCCUGUGGGUGCUGUACAGUCGGCACAGAGGAAGGGCCCAAUAAACGGUGGCCACUGUGGUCACUUCCUGCCUUUCUCCCGGUCUGUUUCUCCCUCUGGCUGAGGGACAGAAUAACCCUGCAUUCACUCGUGGGGAGACAGAACAGGGAGAGGGGGCAUGAGAUCAUGUCUGCCUGCCUGUGCCUCAGGAAGCAAGACAAGGGGACUGUGACUGUCGCGGCUGGAGGAUGUGGGCACCACCUGACCCUGGGGACACAGAUGGCUCAUGACUAGGGCUUUGUGUGUCCAGACCCAGCCACAUGCAGGCCCUGGCCAUUAGGUCCAGAGUCACGCGCCUGGCUGCCCCAUGAUGCAAUGAUGGUUUUCCUUCUCCGGACCAGGGGUAUUCACUGGCCACAGGACCCAGAACAAGUCACCUAAAUCCUACUUUCUUCUUCCAUAAAAUCAUAUAGUAUCUACCUAAUAAAGUUGUUGUGGUAAAUAAAUGUGCAUAAAGGGCCUCGAACUA